UUUAUUCUCCCCCUUUUUGUCAGACUCAAAAAGACUUAGCAAAAAAAAUUUAGAGUAGGCAAAAUAUGAUUCAUAUAUGGGAAAGAGAAAUAUAGAUAAUAUGAUUAACUAUAAAGAACAAAGAGAAAAACACUUAGAGAAUACAUAUCAAAUAUGAAAGUAGAGAAAAUAACAAAACAAAUCCUAAGUGCCUAAGGGUUCG
This 202-nucleotide long non-coding RNA is filed under the name Lathyrus oleraceus (garden pea). RNAcentral describes it as "Pisum sativum (pea) long non-coding RNA (PSAT_LNC018778)". The record is from RNAcentral. Lineage: Eukaryota; Viridiplantae; Streptophyta; Magnoliopsida; Fabales; Fabaceae.